CUCGUAGGUGGUUUGUCGCGUUGUUCGUGAAAACUCACAGCUUAACUGUGGGCGUGCGGGCGAUACGGGCAGACUAGAGUACUGCAGGGGAGACUGGAAUUCCUGGUGUAGCGGUGGAAUGCGCAGAUAUCAGGAGGAACACCGGUGGCGAAGGCGGGUCUCUGGGCAGUAACUGACGCUGAGGUGCGAAAGCGUGGGGAGCAAACA
Molecule: ribosomal RNA, 207 nt
Filed under: uncultured bacterium
Lineage: Bacteria
Description: partial 16S ribosomal RNA
Rfam family: Bacterial small subunit ribosomal RNA
Source: RNAcentral